UACGUAGGGUGCGAGCGUUGUCCGGAAUUAUUGGGCGUAAAGAGCUCGUAGGCGGUCUGUCGCGUCUGCUGUGAAAUCCCGAGGCUCAACCUCGGGCUUGCAGUGGGUACGGGCAGGCUAGAGUGCGGUAGGGGAGAAUGGAACUCCUGGUGUAGCGGUGGAAUGCGCAGAUAUCAGGAGGAACACCGGUGGCGAAGGCGGGUCUCUGGGCCGUAACUGACGCUGAGGAGCGAAAGCGUGGGGAGCGAACAGG
This 253-nucleotide ribosomal RNA is filed under the name uncultured bacterium. RNAcentral's name for it is "partial 16S ribosomal RNA". It matches the Rfam family "Bacterial small subunit ribosomal RNA", at positions 524 to 776 of the family's 1533-position model. The record is from RNAcentral.